Molecule: non-coding RNA, 1380 nt
Organism: Paramuricea clavata
Lineage: Eukaryota; Metazoa; Cnidaria; Anthozoa; Malacalcyonacea; Plexauridae
Source: the annotation of a GenBank genome assembly
UCAAGAUACAAAGAGCUCUAAUAUACUAUAGCAUGAAAAAUUGUAACCAUUUAUAUAACAUAUCAGCCAUAUUUAAGGAGUGUCAGGGCUGUCAGGAGUGCCAGGGAUGUCAGGAGUGUCAGGGUUGUCAGGACUGUCAGUGAUGUCAGGAGUGUCAGGGUUGUCAGGACUGUCAGGGAUGUCAGGGAUGUCAGGAGUGCCAGGGAUGUCAGGAGUGUCAGGGUUGUCAGGACUGUCAGUGAUGUCAGGGCUGUCAGGAGUGCCAGGGAUAUCAGGAGUGUCAGGGUUGUCAGGAGUGUCAGGGUUGUCAGGACUGUCAGGGAUGUCAGGGAUGUCAGGAGUGUCAGGGUUGUCAGUGAUGUCAGGGUUGUCAGGACUGUCAGUGAUGUCAGGGUUGUCAGUGAUGUCAGGGUUGUCAGGGAUGUCAGGAGUGUCAGGGUUGUCAGGAGUGUCAGUGAUGUCAGUGAUGUCAGGGAUGUCAGGAGUGUCAGGGAUGUCAGGACUGUCAGGGUUGUCAGGACUGUCAGGGUUGUCAGUGAUGUCAGGAGUGUCAGGGAUGUCAGGGAUGUCAGGACUGUCAGGGUUGUCAGUGAUGUCAGUGAUGUCAGGGUUGUCAGUGAUGUCAGGGUUGUCAGUGAUGUCAGGAGUGUCAGUGAUGUCAGGAGUGUCAGGGAUGUCAGGAGUGUCAGGGAUGUCAGGGUUGUCAGUGAUGUCAGGAUUGUCAGGGUUGUCAGUGAUGUCAGGAGUGUCAGUGAUGUCAGGAGUGUCAGGGAUGUCAGGAGUGUCGGGGUUGUCAGUGAUGUCAGGGUUGUCAGUGAUGUCAGUGAUGUCAGGAGUGUCAGGGUUGUCAGGGAUGUCAGGAGUGUCAGGGAUGUCAAGAGUGUCAAGGAUGUCAGGGUUGUCAGGAUUGUCAGUGAUGUCAGGAGUGUCAGGGAUGUCAGGGAUGUCAGUGAUGUCAGGGUUGUCAGUGAUGUCAGGGUUGUCAGUGAUGUCAGGAGUGUCAGUGAUGUCAGGGUUGUCAGGAGUGUCAGGGAUGUCAGGGUUGUCAGGGAUGUCAGGACUGUCAGGGUUGUCAGGGUUGUCAGUGAUGUCAGGAGUGUCAGGGAUGUCAGGAGUGUCAGGGAUGUCAGGAGUGUCAGGGAUGUCAGGGGUGUCAGGGAUGUCAGGGUUGUCAGGACUGUCAGGGUUGUCAGUGAUAUCAGUGAUGUCAGGAGUGUCAGGAGUGUCAGGGAUGUCAGGAGUGUCAGGGAUGUCAGGAGUGUCAGGACUGUCAGCGUUGUCAGGGAUGUCAGGUGAUCACUAAUUGCCAGGGUUGUUAGGACUUGUCGGGAAAAAGAAUAAAUAAAAUAAAAGUAUGAUGACAAGUGAGAUGAAGACAUG